GUUAUCUGGAUAAUUUAACCUAAUUUUUAUUGGUUAUUUGCUAUAUUUAUAGAGCUAUAGUUAAAUUUACAGAUUCAAUAUAUCUCCCAACUAUUCUUCUAGGGGAAAGUGUAGGUUUCUUUAAUUUACAAACGUGACAUGGAGGUGACCAUGAAACCUUUUGCAACUUAAUGAUGGUGGGAAACUACAACUUUCCAAAAAUGAUAGGGGAUCCCUUUCUUGUGGUCUUCUUCCAAAAAUUUGUGUUAUUGUGUACAAUUGUGUGUAGGGAUAGACGUAUAAUUCUAACAUAAUUGAAUGUAAAUGUAAAAUACGUAAUUUAUAAUAUAUGCAUAAAUGUCGAGACUAUAAAAAUUGAAAAAUAUUAGUAGCUAAUAUUAAUUAUUAUUAUUAUUUUUUUGAAAUCUUGGGAUCCAUCUCGAUUUUAUGAUACUACCAG
RNAcentral lists this long non-coding RNA (439 nucleotides) under Actinidia chinensis (golden kiwifruit). RNAcentral's name for it is "long non-coding RNA (ACHI_LNC002143)". The record is from RNAcentral. Lineage: Eukaryota; Viridiplantae; Streptophyta; Magnoliopsida; Ericales; Actinidiaceae.